RNAcentral lists this ribosomal RNA (492 nucleotides) under uncultured bacterium. Its description in RNAcentral is "partial 16S ribosomal RNA". It matches the Rfam family "Bacterial small subunit ribosomal RNA", at positions 29 to 507 of the family's 1533-position model. The record is from RNAcentral.
AGUGAACGCUGGCGGUAGGCCUAACACAUGCAAGUCGAACGGCAGCACAGUAAGAGCUUGCUCUUACGGGUGGCGAGUGGCGGACGGGUGAGGAAUACAUCGGAAUCUACUUUUUCGUGGGGGAUAACGUAGGGAAGCUUACGCUAAUACCGCAUACGACCUACGGGUGAAAGCAGGGGAUCUUCGGACCUUGCGCGAUUGAAUGAGCCGAUGUCGGAUUAGCUAGUUGGCGGGGUAAAGGCCCACCAAGGCGGCGAUCCGUAGCUGGUCUGAGAGGAUGAUCAGCCACACUGGAACUGAGACACGGUCCGCACUCCUACGGGAGGCAGCAGUGGGGAAUAUUGGACAAUGGGCGCAAGCCUGAUCCAGCCAUACCGCGUGGGUGAAGAAGGCCUUCGGGUUGUAAAGCCCUUUUGUUGGGAAAGAAAAUCAGCAGGUUAAUACCCCGCUGUUCUGACGGUACCCAAAGAAUAAGCACCGGCUAACUUCGUG